CAUCUCUGAUUUUUCUGAGAAGUUUAGAAGCCCAGCUCCGGACCCGUCUCUUAAGCGUAUAACCCACAAACACUCCAGCUACGAAGAAAACCGCGCACAGCUUUGAACACGUCCAUGCCGAUACUCCACUGCCACCCAGCGAUAAAAAAAAAUAGUCACAAAUUAAAAGCUGAGUAUAACAAGUAUUGCAAGGAUCUUACAAAUUCAAAAUCUUUCGAAGAUUACCUGGGAGUUCUUUUGACCAAAACUGCGGAAGUGUCGUAUGAAGUCGAGUUACCGCCGCCGCCGCCGGCUCGUUUCUCCGCGAAUUCAGAAAGAGAAGAGGAAGAAGAAGAAGCUGCCGAUUUCGCAUCUAUCACCAUCUUGCUGAAAAACUUCUCUACUCCUUCCAUCGCUCGCCAACCGAUUUUCUCGAUGCCGGUGAGGGAACUCUCUGGUUAAAGUAGUGACUUGCCGCCGCGCGUUGACCAAAAACCAAAAGGGUAAAAUUGGAAUUUUAUACUCAUGACUCGGAGAGAUAAACCGACCGCAAUUCAAAAGAGAACCGUAUGCGUUGGUUGCUAAAUGUUUCAAUUUAUUUUGAUUUUUUUGGGUUUCUCUCAAAAUGUAAAAAAGGAAAUUAAAUGUGAUGUAAAAUACAUAAUUAGAAACAAUGCUACAACUGAUGUAAGUUUAUAUCUCA
Molecule: long non-coding RNA, 682 nt
Organism: Brassica napus (rape)
Lineage: Eukaryota; Viridiplantae; Streptophyta; Magnoliopsida; Brassicales; Brassicaceae
Exons: 2
Source: RefSeq, a predicted model, not a curated record